UUCAGAAUGGCCGAGUGGUCUAAGGCGCCAGACUCAAGUUCUGGUCUCCAGCAGGAGGCGUGGGUUCAAAUCCCACUUCUGACA
This 84-nucleotide transfer RNA is filed under the name Danio rerio (zebrafish). RNAcentral describes it as "tRNA-Leu (CAA) (tRNA-Leu-CAA-30-1)". It matches the Rfam family "tRNA". Rfam says of the family: Transfer RNA (tRNA) molecules are approximately 80 nucleotides in length. Their secondary structure includes four short double-helical elements and three loops (D, anti-codon, and T loops). Lineage: Eukaryota; Metazoa; Chordata; Actinopteri; Cypriniformes; Danionidae. The record is from RNAcentral.